Molecule: ribosomal RNA, 253 nt
Filed under: uncultured bacterium
Lineage: Bacteria
Description: partial 16S ribosomal RNA
Rfam family: Bacterial small subunit ribosomal RNA
Source: RNAcentral
UACGAAGGGGGCUAGCGUUGUUCGGAAUUACUGGGCGUAAAGGGCUCGUAGGCGGCCAACUAAGUCGGAUGUGAAAUCCCCAGGCUUAACCUGGGAACUGCAUCCGAUACUGGAUGGCUUGAAUUCGGGAGAGGGAUGCAGAAUUCCAGGUGUAGCGGUGAAAUGCGUAGAUAUCUGGAGGAAUACCGGUGGCGAAGGCGGCAUCCUGGACCGACAUUGACGUUGAGGAGCGAAAGCUAGGGGAGCAAACGGG